GUGGAUGAUAGAAGAAGUAAACAAUUAGGAACAUUUUACAUCGUUCAACAUUCGUUUCCAGUUUUAGAUAUACAAGUUCAUAACCAGAGUGUCUAUGUGAUGACUGAGAAUACGGUCAUAAAGAUCGCUGAUAUUGACCCAUGUCCCUCGAAUGUACUUUGCCUGGAAUGUAUGACAUCGGAAAAUCCAGCUUGUGGAUGGGACAUUCUAAUAGCUAGUUGUACUGUUAAUCCUGAUAACUCUACUUGGUGGCUGCCAUCUGUUGGAGGGCAAUGUCUUAAAGUCAAUGCAAAAGAAUUGGUGAUUGAUGAAACAACAGAUAAU
Mytilus trossulus (common blue mussel) is the source of this 324-nucleotide long non-coding RNA. RefSeq lists it as uncharacterized. The transcript has 3 exons. The record is from RefSeq and is a predicted model, not a curated record. NCBI's taxonomy places the organism in Eukaryota, Metazoa, Mollusca, Bivalvia, Mytilida, Mytilidae.